Molecule: ribosomal RNA, 448 nt
Filed under: uncultured bacterium
Lineage: Bacteria
Description: bacterial SSU rRNA
Rfam family: Bacterial small subunit ribosomal RNA
Source: RNAcentral
UGCCAGACUCCUACGGGAGGCAGCAGUGGGGAAUAUUGCACAAUGGGGGAAACCCUGAUGCAGCGACGCCGCGUGGGUGAGGAAGUACCCCGGUAUGUAAAGCCCUUUCGGCAGGGAAGAAAAUGACGGUACCUGGCGAAGAAGCCCCGGCUAACUACGUGCCAGCAGCCGCGGUAAUACGUAGGGGGCAAGCGUUAUCCGGAUUCACUGGGUGUAAAGGGAGCGCAGGCGGUACGGCGAGUCUGAUGUGAAAACCCGGGGCCCAACCCCGGGACCGCACCGGAUACUGCCGGACUCGAGUGCCGGAGGGGCAGGCGGAAUUCCUGGUGUAGCGGUGAAAUGCGUAGAUAUCAGGAGGAACACCGGCGGCGAAGGCGGCCUGCUGGACCGUAACUGACGUUGAGGCUCGAAAGCGUGGGGAGCAAACAGGAUUAGAUACCCGAGUACG